GGGAACAUCCCGGCGUCGCCGCGGCUUCGUUUUUCACUCAGUGCUCCACCGUGAACGCGAUUUAUGUUCAUUCCUUGCGUGGAGCGUUUAAGGAGUUUCAAGACGACGUCGUCUUGCCUGCGAUGCCUCCGUUGAAGGGUAGUGACCUGCCUGUGUUUCUGUACGACAAUAAUCUUUGCCGACCCUUGUUUGAGCUGCUUAGUAGCCAGUUCGAGAAUGUUGACCACAUUGACUUCUUCUUGGUUAACUCUUUCGACGAACUCGAAGUUGAGGUAAUUAUUCUUUUAUCUUUGUUUGUUUGACAAACAAAAAAAGUUUUCGUUGUUCAUUUUCAUAUAUAUUAUUAAUUAUCUGCAAAAUAAAAGUAAUAGUUAGUACUUGAUGUGAACCAUAUGAAAAUUAAAACUAGUAAUAACGAUAUUUAAGUGAAGAUUUCAAUUGUAAUUUUGGUACUUUGCGAAUGUUAUGUCCCUCCUCUGUGGUUGUAGACUCGAAGGUUCAUGUAUAAAAAAAGAAUCUCUUAGAGCAUGUUUAACCCUAUUACCCCUAAUGGGUUUCUUAGUAACUUUUUAAUUAAUAAAACUAAUCAAAUAACUUUAGUUAAGAAACUCCUAUUUUAGUCAGUGCAUUGGGAGUUUCUUAACUAGAGGUUCUUAAAAAAAAAUUAUUAAAUAUUUUUUCAAUAUAAAAUUUAUUUAUUAAAUAAAACAUAUUAAAAGAUAAAAUUUAAAACAUAAACAAAAAAAAAUUAAAAUUAAAAUUAGUACAAUAAUCGAGAAUAAUUUUAAAAAACAUCCGAGCUUGGUAGUUGUCUCAAUAACAUCCAAAUCGACUCCAUAAAUGUUCAACCAAAUCGGCUUUGAGUUGUUGAUGGGUAUGUGGAUCACGAAUUGCAGUUCGAACACCCAUCAUAUUGGCGAUAUUUGUAGGCAUUUCUGAAGAAAAAUCGAGAUCGACAUGUGAAGUUCCGGUGUCUUCUCCUUGUUGAAACUCUGAAACAUUAAAAUGAGUGUAUCCAUCUCGUUCGUCUUCUACUAUCAUAUUAUGGAGUAUGAUACAUGCUCUCAUAAUCUUUCCAAUUUUGGCUUUAUCCCAAGAACGAGCAGGAUUUUUGAUAAUGGCAAAUCUAGCUUGCAAGACUCCAAAAGCACGUUCGACAUCUUUUCGGACAGCUUCUUGAUAUUUAGCAAAUAAAACCGCUUUCGGCCCUUGCGGUUCUCGAAUAGAUUGGAUAAAAGUUGCCCAUUUCGGAUAAAUACCGUCGGUGAGAUAGUAAGACAUAUGAUACUCUCUUCCAUUGACAAAGUAAGUGACUUGCGGAGCAUGACCAUUUAUUAUAUCAUCAAAAACAGGUGAGCGAUCAAGAACAUUUAUAUCAUUUAAGGUACCUGGAGGUCCGAAAAACGCAUGCCAUAUCCAUAAAUCAUAUGAAGCAACCGCCUCUAAAACGAUUGUGGGUUUAGCCGAACCACGUGAAUAUUGACCUUUCCAAGCGGUGGGGCAAUUCUUCCACUCCCAAUGCAUACAAUCGAUGCUUCCUACCAUCCCGGGAAAUCCACGUUGCUCACCAAUAUAAAGUAGACGUUGAAGAUCAGCCGGUGUCGGUCUUCUGAGGUACUCAUCGCCGAAUAAAUUUAUUAUUCCUUCUACAAAAUGUUCCACACAUAAGCGAGUAGUAGUUGAACCGAGUCGGAGGUAUUCAUCAGUAGCAUCAGCCGCAGUACCAUAUGCCAAGACACGAAUGGCUGCUGUACACUUUUGAAGUGCAGAGAGACUGAGCCUUCCGAGAGCAUCUUUCUUUUGUCGAAAGAAUUCUACUUCGUUGGAGAGUCGAUCAACAAUACGGAUGAACAAUGGCUUGUUCAUUCUAAAUCGUCGUCGGAAUAGAUUUUGAGGAUAUGUUGGAGUUUCACUGAAAUAAUCAUUCCAUAAACGUUGAUCGCCUUCUUCACGGUUUCUUUCGAUAUGAAUUCUUUUUUUUCUUCUUCUUCUUUGGACUUCUUGAUCACCAUAAUUAAUGGCCAAAUUCUCGAAUGUUUUAUCAAAAUGUUGAUCAAAGUAUUGAUCAAAAUAUUCAUCAAAACUUUGCCCAUCUACUCCCUCAAAAGUGUUAUGAGAAGAGGAAGCCAUAGAAAAUGUUUAGAUCAAAGAGAAGAGAGAUACAAAUGUUAUGUGUAUUGAUAUUGAGAUCAAAGAUUGAACGUGUUUAUAUGUUUUGCGAGAAGAGAAGAAUUCAACUUGAGAAUGUGUAUUGAGAACAACGAGUUUACAAGACAUAUAUAGACAUACAUAAACUCGUGAGAAGAAUGGAGUGAAUACAUAAACUCGUGACACAUACAUACAAAAUGAAGGACACUUUUCUUGGCUUCUUCUUCUCAACAUCUUGUGACUUCUCACUGCAUCUUCUUGUCAACAUCUCCUGACUUCUCCUGCUUAAACAUCUCGUGACUUCUCCUUCUCAAACGUGUGAUGAUCAAACGUGUAUAAACAUCUCGUGACUUCUCUUGACUCUUCACUCACUGCACAUCAAACGUGUAUAAACAAAUUAAUGUAUUUUAGAGACAAAUAAACAAAGCCAAGAUAGGACAGAUCAGAUUUCACAAAACACAUAAACUCGUUUUUUAUAAAAUAACAUAACAUAUCACAUAAACUUGAAACAUACAUUAUCAUUAUGAAACUUCCGAAUUCAGCAGAACAUGAAGACAAACAGAACAUGGAGAAAAAACAGAACAUGAAGAAAAACAUAACAUGAAGAAAAAACAGAACAUGAACUAUUUACUCAGCAUCUCUGUAAUGAGUUUCUGCUUAAGAGCUUCUUCAGAUUCAGAAAGUGGCUCAGGUUUGGCAAUGGGACGGUCAAGCAAAUCCAUCUUCUUAACACUCUCUUGAACUGCCAAAUCUCUCUCUUUAACUGCCAAAUCUCUCUCUUUAAUAGAACACAUGGCCAGAAACUCAGCAGAUGCGGCCUUCGAUGCCUCCUGAUAUGCUAUACUUCUCUUACCAGAUGCUGCUUUCGAUGCCUUAACACCAGGAGGACGUUUUGUUGGUGACUUACCGAGAGCUGAAGCUGCUUGAGAGCUUUCUGAUUGUGCUCCAUUAUCACACUUUCUCUUCUUACCGCUGCCAUCAAUCUUGCAAGUAGCAGCUUCACACCAUUUCUGGUCGUACCUCAGCUCCUCCCAAGCAUGGUGAAGGUUGAAUUUAAUCUUAUGAUUGUGGUAGAAGAUUUCAUGUGCAAGUUUAACAGUAUCAGCCUCAUUCUGACCACUUGUUUUCUGUCUUGUUGCAGCCGCAUAGGAUCCACAGAAUUUGCAAACAAGAUCGUUCAUCUUCUGCCACCUUUGCUUACACUUGGUGUGACCUUUCUACUUCUAAAACUGAUGGAAACGCUAAAAGGAGGAAGUGUGAUGACGGUGCACAAUCAUCAAGCUCUCACGCAAAUGAAACCAACACUUCUGAAGAUGACCAAGGAACCAAUCGUCCACUGGGUGUUAAGGCAGCUCUUCCACUCUCUUUCGUCCCCCUCGACGACGGCUUCGAGGAAGGCCAUCCAUCUACCGACUCCUCUCCCGAGUACUUUGAAAAGUUCCAAGAAAACGUCUCUAGGAGCCUCUCUCAACUCAUCUCCUCGAUGGAACCCAAACCAAACGCCGUCGUAUACGACUCUUGUACGCCUUGGGUUCUCAACGUUUGCCGGGAACAUCCCGGCGUCGCCGCGGCUUCGUUUUUCACUCAGUGCUCCACCGUGAACGCGAUUUAUGUUCAUUCCUUGCGUGGAGCGUUUAAGGAGUUUCAAGACGACGUCGUCUUGCCUGCGAUGCCUCCGUUGAAGGGUAGUGACUUGCCUGUGUUUCUGUACGACAAUAAUCUUUGCCGACCAUUGUUUGAGCUGCUUUGUAGCCAGUUCGAGAAUGUUGACCACAUUGACUUCUUCUUGGUUAACUCUUUCGACGAACUCGAAGUUGAGGUAAUUAUUCUUUUAUCUUUGUUUGUUUGACAAACAAAAAAAGUUUUCGUUGUUCAUUUUCAUAUAUAUUAUUAAUUAUCUGCAAAAUAAAAGUAAUAGUUAGUACUUGAUGUGAAC
This 4084-nucleotide long non-coding RNA is filed under the name Brassica napus (rape). RNAcentral's name for it is "long non-coding RNA (BNAP_LNC012955)". Lineage: Eukaryota; Viridiplantae; Streptophyta; Magnoliopsida; Brassicales; Brassicaceae. The record is from RNAcentral.